This is a long non-coding RNA of Eleginops maclovinus (Patagonian blennie), 264 nucleotides long. RefSeq lists it as uncharacterized. NCBI's taxonomy places the organism in Eukaryota, Metazoa, Chordata, Actinopteri, Perciformes, Eleginopidae. The transcript is spliced from 2 exons. The record is from RefSeq and is a predicted model, not a curated record.
UGUGUGUGUGUGUGUGUGUUAGAAACCAGGAAGACGGCAAGCGGCAUCAUCUACACGGUGCAGGUUCCGGAGGCCCCGCCCUGUAGAGCACCUGAGGACACAGGUGAAGCUCCGGCAGCCAAGAGAGCCAAGCCUGGUGCAGUGAUUGACAGCUGAGGGGCGGGACUAACUCUGAUUUAUUGUUUAAUGCUUGUUGAAAUCCCAUAAUAAUCAUUUAUGAUGUCUUUACUUUGAGUGUUUCUAAAUAAAGUUUUUAUUUCCUUA